GUCAUUCUGAACUAAACGAGAGGGGGCUUCCCUGCAGAGAGGAAACAGAGACGCCUGGUUAAAAUACGCACUGUGUACUUGCAAGACUCUCCAUGCAGUCAUCUCAGAGCUACAGCACCGGAGGAAAAACGCAGCUCCGGGAAGCUUACAGGCAAGCCCGCAGGCGCCCGGCCAGACCACAGGGGGCGCUGGUGCGCGGCGAGCCGAUGACACCCUGGCCGACCUAAACCCGAUCUACACUCAGAGAGAGGUUGAGAAGGUGAUGAUACAUCAGGUUUGAAGUUGUAUAUGUUCCCGCUGAAUUGGGAGAACAUCCGUGUUUUUUGUUCUAUGAAACAAGCAACUAUCAACAAGGGGAGAAGACUGGAAAAAUAAAAAGAACAUCUAUAAAAAAAGAAAAUAAAGAAGAAAAAAAAUCACAACCCUCGCUACUUCAACAGUGAAAUGGUACUGUACGUGGUAGUUUUAAUAAUGAAACAAUGAAACAGUUUUGAUAAUGAUACUGCACAAUAUAAAACAUAACAUCAAAAGGUUUUUGAAGAAGAAAGAAGGAGGGUGUGGCAGAGCAAAGCUCUGCUAUUUUUAAAUUGGCAGGGAUGGGGUUAAUUUCCCCUACC
Molecule: long non-coding RNA, 617 nt
Organism: Polyodon spathula (Mississippi paddlefish)
Lineage: Eukaryota; Metazoa; Chordata; Actinopteri; Acipenseriformes; Polyodontidae
Exons: 3
Source: RefSeq, a predicted model, not a curated record